CCUACGGCGUGCUGCAGUGGGGAAUAUUGGACAAUGGGCGAAAGCCUGAUCCAGCCAUGCCGCGUGUGUGAAGAAGGCCUUCGGGUUGUAAAGCACUUUCAGUGGGGAAGAAAGCCUUGGGGCUAAUACCCUCGAGGAAGGACAUCACCCACAGAAGAAGCACCGGCUAACUCCGUGCCAGCAGCCGCGGUAAUACGGAGGGUGCGAGCGUUAAUCGGAAUUACUGGGCGUAAAGCGCGCGUAGGCGGUCUGAUAAGCCGGUUGUGAAAGCCGCGGGCUCAACCUGGGAACGGUCCGGAAGGGGGUAGGGAGGAGUGCAAAGGAAGAGAUGCGAAUUUGGUGUGGAGCGGUGAAGUGGGGAGAGAGAUGGAGAAGCACAGGUGGGGAAGGGGGCUCUGUAGUAUAUAACUGAAGCGGAGGGUCGAGAGCGGGGAGAACGAACAGGAUAAGAGACACUGGUAGUCA
This 465-nucleotide ribosomal RNA is filed under the name Vreelandella stevensii. RNAcentral's name for it is "partial 16S ribosomal RNA". It matches the Rfam family "Bacterial small subunit ribosomal RNA", at positions 338 to 796 of the family's 1533-position model. The record is from RNAcentral. Lineage: Bacteria; Pseudomonadati; Pseudomonadota; Gammaproteobacteria; Oceanospirillales; Halomonadaceae.